UUAGGAAUAUUCGUCAAUGGGGGAAACCCUGAACGAGCAAUGCCGCGUGAACGAUGAAGGCCCUCUGGGUUGUAAAGUUCUGUUGUUUGGAAAGAAUUGUAAGACUAGGAAAUGAGUUUUACUUGACGGUACCAUUCAAGAAAGCCACGGCUAACUACGUGCCAGCAGCCGCGGUAAUACGUAGGUGGCGAGCGUUAUCCGGAUUUAUUGGGCGUAAAGCGUGCGCAGGCGGCUUGUUAAGUCUAAAAUAAAAGCCCGAAGCUUAACUUCGGUUCGUUUUAGAAACUGGCAGGCUCGAGUAUGGUAGAGGCAAAUGGAAUUUCUAGUGUAGCGGUAAAAUGCGUAGAUAUUAGAAGGAACACCAGUGGCGAAGGCGAUUUGCUGGGCCAUCACUGACGCU
Molecule: ribosomal RNA, 400 nt
Filed under: uncultured bacterium
Lineage: Bacteria
Description: bacterial SSU rRNA
Rfam family: Bacterial small subunit ribosomal RNA
Source: RNAcentral